RNAcentral lists this ribosomal RNA (1104 nucleotides) under Halomonas sp. RNAcentral describes it as "bacterial SSU rRNA". It matches the Rfam family "Bacterial small subunit ribosomal RNA", at positions 39 to 1144 of the family's 1533-position model. Lineage: Bacteria; Pseudomonadati; Pseudomonadota; Gammaproteobacteria; Oceanospirillales; Halomonadaceae. The record is from RNAcentral.
GCGGCAGCUACACAUGCAGUCGAGCGGUAACAGGGGUAGCUUGCUACCCGCUGACGAGCGGCGGACGGGUGAGUAAUGCAUAGGAAUCUGCCCGAUAGUGGGGGAUAACCUGGGGAAACCCAGGCUAAUACCGCAUACGUCCUACGGGAGAAAGGGGGCUCCGGCUCCCGCUAUUGGAUGAGCCUAUGUCGGAUUAGCUAGUUGGUGAGGUAAUGGCUCACCAAGGCAACGAUCCGUAGCUGGUCUGAGAGGAUGAUCAGCCACAUCGGGACUGAGACACGGCCCGAACUCCUACGGGAGGCAGCAGUGGGGAAUAUUGGACAAUGGGCGAAAGCCUGAUCCAGCCAUGCCGCGUGUGUGAAGAAGGCCUUCGGGUUGUAAAGCACUUUCAGCGAGGAAGAACGCCUAGUGGUUAAUACCCAUUAGGAAAGACAUCACUCGCAGAAGAAGCACCGGCUAACUCCGUGCCAGCAGCCGCGGUAAUACGGAGGGUGCAAGCGUUAAUCGGAAUUACUGGGCGUAAAGCGCGCGUAGGUGGCUUGAUAAGCCGGUUGUGAAAGCCCCGGGCUCAACCUGGGAACGGCAUCCGGAACUGUCAAGCUAGAGUGCAGGAGAGGAAGGUAGAAUUCCCGGUGUAGCGGUGAAAUGCGUAGAGAUCGGGAGGAAUACCAGUGGCGAAGGCGGCCUUCUGGACUGACACUGACACUGAGGUGCGAAAGCGUGGGUAGCAAACAGGAUUAGAUACCCUGGUAGUCCACGCCGUAACGAUGUCGACCAGCCGUUGGGUGCCUAGCGCACUUUGUGGCGAAGUUAACGCGAUAAGUCGACCGCCUGGGGAGUACGGCCGCAAGGUUAAAACUCAAAUGAAUUGACGGGGGCCCGCACAAGCGGUGGAGCAUGUGGUUUAAUUCGAUGCAACGCGAAGAACCUUACCUACUCUUGACAUCCUGCGAACUUGUGAGAGAUCACUUGGUGCCUUCGGGAACGCAGAGACAGGUGCUGCAUGGCUGUCGUCAGCUCGUGUUGUGAAAUGUUGGGUUAAGUCCCGUACGAGCGCAACCCUUGUCCUUAUUUGCCAGCGGGUAAUGCCCGGGAACCUCUAAG